UCAUGGAUACUAAUCAGAUUCUCACAGCAGGAAUGCCUCAUGUAAUCUUAUGGCAGCACUAAAAGCUUGUCUUCACCUAUAUUGCUUAUCAAAACAUGCCUAUCAUAUACAAUUCAUUGUACUACAACAUUUCUUCCAAUACUUUGCACUUAUUGUUUUUCCAACUUUGAAGCAGUGUGUACUUACUUAGGAGUCAGGAGUACCCUGAGUAGGUAAAUUACAUCCCUAUGGUCUGGAACACAGUAAAAGCAAAAACGCUUUUGAUUCAGUGAUUUGUGCUUUCUUCCUUCUGCACCUUCCUGCAGACACUGUUGGCAGAGAAGCUGAAUUGGCACCCUGGGCUUGGGCAACUGCUGCUAAAAGAUGGUGUCCUGGGAGCAGAACUUUCCUGUAACUGAGUGAUUCCUCACGUUGGUUUCAGACCAGUGUAAUUGAUUCUUGUUCUUCUUUUCUUUGUUUUGUUGUCAUUUAAUUCUUUAAUUAAACUCUCUUGUUAUUGGGAUUAAAAUCAUUGUAACCUGCCCCAGUUUUUCUUAUCUUGCUCUUUGAAGAUAUGAGAGUUCUGAACUUUCUAAUCUCAGGGCUGAAUGAAUACAAUUCAACCUCAUGUCUUAGAAUAGGGAUUCUCAUUCAAAGAGACUGGCUUCUUGGGGGGUGUGUGUUACCACAACCUUGAGGUAGAAAGUAAGAGGGAAGAGGGGCUGCCAGUUGAUGAAAAAAGCAUAUUCAGUAUUCUAAGCUAAUUAAAUCAAAACAAAUGAAUUUGUUCUGCUAACCAAGACAUAGAGAGUUAACCCUAUAAAAUUUCCUUUAUGGGCAUACAAGUUAGCAACUCCCAACAAGAUGAGUAUCUCUCUCUCCAGGUCAGAGUUGCCGAAUAUCUGUAAAGUGAUGGGCUACCUUCAAGAGAAAUGUACAGGGUUGUUCUCAAAAGCAUCAUUUGUAAUAGCAAACUCGGAAAGAAUUGGAAAAAAACUAAAGAUCCAUCAAAGGCAGAGUAGCUGAAUAAGGUCAUAUCAUGGAGUGGGUCAUUGAUGUGGAUGAACAGAUGUGCUGAUAUUGGCAGAUCUCCAACACACAUUUCAAGUUAAAACCACAACAGCAUGUAGGACACAAUGAAUAGUAUGAUCCCUUUAGUAUAAAAAUGGUCCCAAACCCUAUAAAAGCUGUAAACAUCCCUCUCCCUGUCAUUUACCAGCCUCUCUCUCAUUCUGUUUCUCUCUCCUGUGCUAUGACUUUUUUCUUCUCCUGGAAAGACACAUAAGAAUUAUGUUAGAAGGGUUAGUUUGGGGAAGAGAGACUAUGGGGACGGAAACGUAAAAAUUUCACUUUGUACUUUUUGUUUACAUUUUAAAAUCAUCUAACCAGCCGUCUCAUCAUUUAUUCUACAAAUACUUGUUGAAUGGCUACCACGUUUCAGGCGGUGCCCCUACUCUCUAAAAGAAUGGCGUGACCCUGACUUGAAGAAAGCUAAGCCUAGUGAGGAAAUAGACGGUAAUAAGGAAAUGUAGAAAAGAUAAUUCAAGACAGUUCUCAGAGUUAAGAAGAAUCAAAAAGGUCUUUAGUUAAAGAGUAACAGCAGAAGACUACUUUAGAUAGCAUAGCACUCAGCGCUUAAAUGCUCCAUAAAGCAAAGAAAACAAAACAAAAUAAAAUACUCCCAAAUGGAAUGCCUCACAACAAGCUCAGCUUUGCAAGUCAUUUGUGACUCAGCUGAUCUAAGCUGGGAUUUUCUGGGAAGCGCUGGGUUUGCGAGCUGAAGGCUGAGCUUAAUACUGCUCUGUAUUAGUCUGGUCUAGGGCCCAGGCUGGAAGUUCCAGCAGCCACUUGGAGAGGCUCUUUUCCUGAUAAAUCACCAGAGUGCAAAAGGGCCAAGUGAAACUGCACAAGCCAUUGCAGGCCUUUGCUUUUAUCAUGUCUACUGAUAUCUCAUUGGCCGAAUCAAAUCCUAUGGCCAAGUCCAGUGACAAUGGAGUGGAAAGUUACCCUCCACUCAUGGGGAUGGUGCUUGGAAGUAAAUAUUAUGCUGCAAAAUAUUUGACACUAUUGAUCAAGGCCUAUCUGAUCACUGAGUAGAAACUGCACAACUGUGAGCCAGAUUUGCUAAGACCACGGUAAGGUCUAGGGGUGAGAGUGAGGGACUUGAGCCAUUUCAAGCAGAGAAAAUAAUAAAUUCAAAAUUAUUAUCUAAAUUGUCAGUUGGUUGGUAGGAUUGUAAGUCAUUUUUUAUUUAAACGUUUCUGUAAAAAUUAACCUUAGUAAAUGGUCUUUCACAAAGGAGUAGCAUGCCAGAUCUGAGCUGCGUCUGUGACCUACAGCACAGCUCACGGCAGCACUGGAUCCUUAACUCACUGAGCGGAUCCAGGAAUUGAACCUAUAUCCUCAUGGAUACCAAUUGGGUUAGUUACUGCUAGACACAAUGGAACUCCUAGACUUUCUGGUUUUUCAAAAUGAUAUUCAGUCCGAUGAUAAAGUUCUCUAAGAGUUAUCAGAAAUGUCAUUGGACUGCUUACAUUUUUAUCCAGGGUAGUACUUAGCUAAACCACGGAGCAGGUUUUAGGGGCAGUGGUAAUCAGAAAUAAAUUUGCUUUUAUGAUUAUACCCUUUGAAUCUUGUCCAGCCCAUCAGUUACACUAACAUUUAUUAAAUUAAAGAUAGCCAUCAAAGCAUUGUGUUAAGGGUUUUCUAGCUGUUACCUCAUUCCCAAGAACACAGUAAGGUAAUUACUAUUAUCCUCAUUUUCUGGAUGAACACAUCAAAGGCAAGGGAGGUCAAGUGAUUGCCCAAGGUCACAGAAUAAUAAAUGUCAAAGCUGGGAUUCAAGUUUAAUCCAGUCCAUCUGACUGUGAGUCUGUGCUCCUAGUGGGUCUGAUUUCUUUCCUGGUGAAAAGCCCUUGUAGUAUGUGUGGGGUGUGACUGCACUCUCCACAGCUCCGUAUCCAUCCCCCAGGCCAAGCAGGCCCAGAUUCUAAAGCCACUUUUGCAGGGCAUGAGUUCAGUCUUUCUCCAUCCCAGUCAUUCUCCUUACCUUCCCCCCAUUUAUCACGUGUGGCCCUUGUGUAUGUGUGGAUACUAAAAAUUACAUUCGAUCACAUGUGUGCAUGUGACUUAGCGGGGGUGUCCUUGCCUAACCAUCGCGGGGCCCUGGGAGUAGGGAAGGGCCUCUUGGAUGCACUUUCUGCAGGAUCCCAUCUCUUCCUGUGCUUUUCCCCAGACUGGCCAUGGAGGAUCCUCCCUGUAGGCGCCUGUGCAAGGCGUAUCAAUUACCUCUUUAUGUGGACCUCCAGUUCCUUGAAUUUGAUGAGCUGCAGGGAGAAUUGGAUAGUGGCAGACGUUAAACAGCAAUGACAACAACAGCUCAGUUUCCCCAAAAAACUCUCUAGUAAUACUGGAAAUAGUUUUGUCCUUUGGUUUCCCAAACAUUCACUUAUUUAUACACUUGUCCAUGCAUUCAUUCACACAAAGAAAGCUUUACCGAGAGUCCCUGCUGCAUUAGGUCCUGCGAUGCAAGAAUGGAGAAGAGGAGUCCCCUGUCCUUGGGGAGCUCAGCUUCUAGACUGGGAAGUGGGUAUGUAAAUCAGUUGUCAUGCUCUGGUAAAAAAGUACUAAAUUGAGGUGUGAACCAGAUGCCAUGAGAACACCCAGGAAUAGGUAACUCAAAGUGUGCAGGAUGUCAAACUGUGUUAGUCAUGGCGUUGGGCCUAAAUUAGAAAACCAAAAAAACCCCCAGAAGCCAAAAAAAAAACCACACCCCCAAACUAUGAGAACCCUCCGUUUUGAAUUAUUCCUUUAUUUGACAGAAAUUUUUUUAUCUCCUGAAGGGCAAGGGGGGAUGAAUGCAGUGUCUUUGGUGCAGAAAGACCUGUUUGAUCUUGAAGCAAAUCACCCCAAGGAUUCCCCAUGAUUUUCAUAUUGUCCUUUUAUAAAGAGAGAUUUGGGUUACUGAGCCAGCGGGUCUGUCCCUGUGCCCGUCUGUCUCAGUCCCGCUGAUCCUUCUAGAGUGCUUUCUGGAAAGAGUGACCCGUUUGAUACCUUUGCCAUGUGCUGGCACAAGUAACCAAAUAGCUGCACAAAGAUAAGAGUUCAAGGGUAUUCGCUGAGGUGUUGCUUAUAACGACAAUAGGAAAUAUCCUAAAUAUCCAUCCACAGGGGAUUGAUUAAAUUCGUUCAGAACAUGCUGCAAUGUAAUGCCAAGCUGUUCUUUAAAAGAUGAAUAAGAUCUAUAUGUAUUAAUCAGGAAGAGUGUUAAUGAUACAUAAAGUAAAAAUUAAAAAGUGUAUUGAACUGUGUGUAAAUUAUUAUGGUUUUUUUCAUGUAAAUUAAUGUAUGCAUAAAAAUUCUGUUGGGAUGUAUUCCAAACUGAACAGAGGCUCUUGUGGAGGAAGGGGUAUGUGAAGUGCCUUGAAGGGAACUUCACUUUCUCUUUUAAGCACAUCUGUAUUUUUUGCAUUUUGAAUUAUUUUU
Molecule: long non-coding RNA, 4464 nt
Filed under: Sus scrofa (pig)
Lineage: Eukaryota; Metazoa; Chordata; Mammalia; Artiodactyla; Suidae
Description: lncRNA (ENSSSCG00000051518.1)
Source: RNAcentral